UGGAUUCACAUUUCUUGCUGUUCAGCUUUAGCUGGGUUCUGUGGAGGGGUUUGGGUGCUGCUGCAGAGCUCCAGAGCAUCUCCCUGGCACGCUGGCCUCCCUCAGAGGAAGAGCUGAACUCCCUGUGGCCCUCAGAGGCAGCAGGGCAGCUCAGAUUUGGUUGCUCAGUUGUUGUUUUAGACUCUCUUAUCUCAUCAGCAGGAUCCCAAGUGUGGACUCUGACCCAGGGGAGUUUUCAGGGUUGUGUACAGUUAAAUCUGCCCCUCUCAUUUCUCUCCUGCCACUUCCAUGUGGGACAUUUACACACAAACACCACCCUGGCACGACAGCAUGGGGCACACACUCUGAUUUCAAUGUGUUUGUGGCCUUAGUGCCACUGGGAAUGAGAAAAUCAGAGAUUUGGGUAGAAUAUUCUCUGCUAGGAAAUGCACACGAGACCCCUGGGAAAGCCCACACCAAACACUGCAGCACCAGAAACCAUAAUAAUAAUAACAGUAGCAGUAAAAAUAAUAAUAAUAAAAGCUAUUUAUGACACAGCCUUUAUUCACAGAGACAUUUGCCCCAGGGCUUUGUUUUACAGAUCCCCCCUCCUCUGCCCUGUAGCCCACAGCACCCCAGUGCAGUCCACAGCAUCCCAGGGCAAUCCAUGACCCCACAGGACAUGGGAUGGGGGGGGGGAUAAACCCUGCAGAGCUCCCCCAGCUCAGCCCCACAGGAGCCACCCUACAGGAAAAGGCAAAAGGAUCCAGAGAGGGAAAUGCUGAGGGUCUGUGCCAGCCCCUCCCUACCUGGGGUGGGCUGCUGGGCCAGGCUGAGCCGUGCUGGGCCAGGCUGAGCCGUGCUGGGCCCCCUGGAGCAGGGAAAUGGGAACAAGGCCCCCCUAAGGCACUGCAGUCACACCCCCUCACCCCUGCUCCAGACCCCCCUUCAAGCUCAGAGCAGGACAUGGGGUGGGGAUUUCACAAACCCCAGGAUGUGGGACCGGUUCCUGUGUGCCUGGGCACCAUGGAGGAUGGGGAUGGCCAUGGGAUUGCCACAGGAUUGCCAUGGGAUCACCAUGGGAUUGCCAUGGAAUUGCCAUGGGAUUGCCCCAGGCAAUCAUGGCACGUGGGACAACGGGCACGCUCUGCCUCCAGCUGCCACUGCCUCGGAGUCCUUUGGUAUCUUGAGUUGGCCUGAUGGCAUCCCAGGAGCAUUGGGCUGAAGUGCCAAGCUGGGGAGCCAUGGAAGCAGGUGGGAAUGCUCAUCCCAUAGUCCCAGAGCACGGCUGUGUCCAUCGGGAUGUGCAGCCUGGAGCCUCUCCCAGGGUGGGGACAAGGGACACCAACUGCCCUGUGCUCCCCGUGCAAGAGAUUUGGCAAUCCAGAGCCAGGACAGCUGGUCUGGAAAGGCUGCAGGAGAAGGGCUGGGUAUUUCUCCUUCUUCUUGGGCACUGAUUGGUUCAAGUCUGUAUCACAGUGAAGUCUGAGACGUGGGGAAGGAACCCAAAGCACCUUCCCUGACAGAGCCAGGACAGCUCCUCCAGCCAGGCACAUCCCACCUGCUGCUGACCACAGAGCCUCCCAUCCCUCGGGAGCACACUCUGGAGCUUCUCCCUCCCCUCUGGAGGGACACUGGCAGCCAAAACCGGCUCAGCCCAUCCUCAAACACGAGUAAACAUCAAGAGAAACUAAGAGGCACUAUAAUAACGCAGAUCCGGGGGGGCCGGGCUUGGCACGCCCUGCCUGGCUCCGGAUGGAUGGCUCGGUCCAGCCCAGGUGUCAGAUGUCCUGCAGGAGUGGCCAGGUCCAGCCCAGGUGUCAGAUGUCCUGCAGGGGUGGCCAGGUCCAGCCCAGGGCUCAGAUGUCCUGCAGGGAGUGGCCGGGCUCGCUGCGCUCCCGUUUCACCAGUGGCUCCCCCGGGUCCCCCUCCGUGCCCAGCUCGAUGUCAUCUGCAAAGGACAGGGCUCAGAGCAGGGCCCGGGGCCACCACGAGCUGCUUUCCAGCAGAGCAGGCUGCAAGAGGCAGCUCGAGGGGCCCCAAUCCUCCCAAAACA
This 2035-nucleotide long non-coding RNA is filed under the name Geospiza fortis (medium ground-finch). Its description in RNAcentral is "lncRNA (ENSGFOG00000014332.1)". The record is from RNAcentral. Lineage: Eukaryota; Metazoa; Chordata; Aves; Passeriformes; Thraupidae.